UACGUAGGUGGCAAGCGUUAUCCGGAAUUAUUGGGCGUAAAGAGCGCGCAGGUGGUUAAUUAAGUCUGAUGUGAAAGCCCACGGCUUAACCGUGGAGGGUCAUUGGAAACUGGUUGACUUGAGUGCAGAAGAGGGAAGUGGAAUUCCAUGUGUAGCGGUGAAAUGCGUAGAGAUAUGGAGGAACACCAGUGGCGAAGGCGGCUUCCUGGUCUGCAACUGACACUGAAGCGCGAAAGCGUGGGGAGCAAACAGG
Molecule: ribosomal RNA, 253 nt
Filed under: uncultured bacterium
Lineage: Bacteria
Description: partial 16S ribosomal RNA
Rfam family: Bacterial small subunit ribosomal RNA
Source: RNAcentral